RNAcentral lists this ribosomal RNA (460 nucleotides) under uncultured bacterium. RNAcentral's name for it is "partial 16S ribosomal RNA". It matches the Rfam family "Bacterial small subunit ribosomal RNA", at positions 338 to 795 of the family's 1533-position model. The record is from RNAcentral.
CCUACGGGUGGCAGCAGUGAGGAAUAUUGGUCAAUGGACGAGAGUCUGAACCAGCCAAGUAGCGUGAAGGAUGACUGCCCUAUGGGUUGUAAACUUCUUUUAUAUGGGAAUAAAAUGUUCCACGUGUGGGAUUUUGUAUGUACCAUCUGAAUAAGGAUCGGCUAACUCCGUGCCAGCAGCCGCGGUAAUACGGAGGAUACGAGCGUUAUCCGGAGUUAUUGGGGUUAAAGGGAGCGUAGGUGGAUUGUUAAGUCAGUUGUGAAAGUUUUCGGCUAAACCGUAAAAUUGCAUGUGAAACUGGCAGUCUUGAGUACAGUAGAGGUGGGCGGAAUUCGUGGUGUAGCGGUGAAAUGCUUAGAUAUCACGAAGAACUCCGAUUGCGAAGGCAGCUUACCGGUCUCCAUCUGACGCUGAGGCACGAAAGCGUGGGUAUCAAACAGGAUUAGAUACCCUUGUAGUC